GCAGAAGAGAAGCGAAGCGAAGCGUCUCUGUUCCCCCAGUCAGUCUCCUGUGAGUGCUGGCAUCAAAGGUGGCUCCCCUGAGGCACACACAGACUAAUGAUCACAUGACACGCCACGAGGGGGGGGGCGCGGGAACGAUAACCUCCCUGGCGCUACCCCCUCUUUUUUCUUUUUCUCACAUUCUCUCUCUCACCCUCUCUCUCUCCCCCUCUCUUGUUCUUUCUCUCCCAGGUAUCUAGGUCAAAGGAAAUGUAUUCCGCUUCAGCACCUCCUCCUACCUGAGAUGCCGGUUACAUUCAACAGUCCUCUAAUCUAUAUUGCAGCAGUGGCAAGACUGCGUCAUCCAACCUCAAUGCACUAUGACCUCUUUAUUCAUCUGUAAAGAAAACGUAGCUGAUGAAAACCCAUUUUAAUUAAUAGCAUUUUACACUAGCCGCGAGAUUCUUUAACCAACUUUGAGGUUGUUGUCUGUAACUGUUGAAAACUGGCUUUCUCGCCCUAGUGGAGUCGAGUGGCUUUGCAACAGUGACUAAACUGCCUCGCCAGAAGUAAUGUAAUCAGCGGCUAAUCUCUUCUAAUGUGUGUUAGUGGCUCACUCAGAGAAAGGAACUUAACUUUUUGGAUCGGGGGCCGGCGCUGUUAAAAAACACGUCUGGGGCCCAGAGCACAGUUUGCUAAUGUGAGCACAUUUCCAUUCAUCAUCCAUAAACAGUCUUUUAUUUAUUUACACCGGGGCUCGCGUUGCCUUCGGCUUGCAUUUAAUGUGCAAUAAAUAUAGUCCAUUUUAUUUAGCAAUACAGUUACUACAGUCACACCCGCUGGUGUGUUUAGACAUACUUAAUCACGUUUAUUAGGAAUAUGCUCAUAAUAAUAUCCUUGAACAUACAAGCUAACCUUAAUUACAUUCCAAUUUCAGUCUCAAACUGAGAAAGUCAGAGCAGUUAUAAUAUUUCCUCGAAAAAAAAAAAAAAAAACUCACAGAAUUCAGGAAAUAUUUGUGUGUGUGUUCCCAGAUAGAAGGGGACUCCUGACCGGUUCUGGCCCUGGUCUGGCCCUGGUCUGGCCCUGAAGAGAGUCUGAACGGAGCUGAAUCCCUCCUGGAUCACUCCUGGACUCAGCUGCUGCUGUGUGAAUCAGCCAUCCGUGGUUCCUGACACACAGGUUGCCUUGACAGUGACACGUUAAGGAAAUGACACGGGGGUGAGUCAAGAAACAGUAAGGGUUACACCCCUGACAGCUUCGCCAUCGCAGCAACCAAGUAACAAGAGAGUGUUAAUCAUGAUAACAGAUGUCAUAUAAGUGGCCCUGACAGGUUCCAUCUUCAUCACAUUGAGAACGGUCUAAAUCCCUUAUGAAGUGUACUCUGGCUGUAGUCGUGGCAACGAUUAUGUUAUAGAAGGAUAUCAUAGCUGAUGUCUCUUGAAAAGCACAAAUAUUUGAUCGCCAGUGAUAAACUGGCCCACAGUGGUUUAACCGAUGGUUAUGGAAAAAAAGAAAUAAAAAUACAGCAAAUACUUGUCGUACUAAACUAAACUAAACUACUCCACUAAAAGUGCUCUACUUGGUGGGAUGGUGCAAAAUCCUUCUGACAUAAACAUGGAAUUCACUUUAUGAGACAACAUAAACGGAAUGUGCUCUGUGAGUGUGUGAAUGUGUGUGUGUGUGUGUGUGUGUGUGUGUGUGUGUGUGUGUGUGUGUGUGUGUGUGUGUGUG
Clupea harengus (Atlantic herring) is the source of this 1713-nucleotide long non-coding RNA. The record is from Ensembl. NCBI's taxonomy places the organism in Eukaryota, Metazoa, Chordata, Actinopteri, Clupeiformes, Clupeidae.